AGGGGCUAAGGAUAUGAAAGGGGUUUAUUUUAUUCAGUUUUAUUCACUUCAUAGAUGCAAAGUUGUUGCAGCUCAAUGCCUGUAUGGACUUCAAUCUCAAAGGGACACAACAAUAUUUAAGUGGCAGACUUAAACUGACUCUAGGCUAAACUCUAAGCCUUCAGGAUCCUGUUAAGUAGAUCAAAGUCCUUUCUUCUCUUAGCUACCAUGUACCAAACAUCACUGAUGUAUUACUAUUUCUUCUGAUCUUACUAAGCAUAAGCAAUUGAUUUGUUGGCCUGGAAACCAUGUAAAAGUGCAUAGGCCAUCACGUAUAUUUUUAAAUUAUGUAAAGAAAAA
This 339-nucleotide long non-coding RNA is filed under the name Marmota monax (woodchuck). The record is from RNAcentral. Lineage: Eukaryota; Metazoa; Chordata; Mammalia; Rodentia; Sciuridae.